Molecule: RNase P RNA, 184 nt
Filed under: Clostridiales bacterium
Lineage: Bacteria; Bacillati; Bacillota; Clostridia; Eubacteriales
Description: partial RNase P RNA component class A
Rfam family: Bacterial RNase P class A
About the family: Ribonuclease P (RNase P) is a ubiquitous endoribonuclease, found in archaea, bacteria and eukarya as well as chloroplasts and mitochondria. Its best characterised activity is the generation of mature 5'-ends of tRNAs by cleaving the 5'-leader elements of precursor-tRNAs.
Source: RNAcentral
GAGGUAAGAGCUCACCAGCGGUCCGGUGACGGACUGGCUCUGUAAACCCCGCCUGGAGCAACACCGCGGAGGGACAAUAUUGCGACCCGCAAGUCCCGGGGAGGUGGCUUGAGCCGGCUGGUGACAGCCGGCCUAGACAGAUGGUUGUCCAAUACAGGACCCGGCUUACAGGUUUGCUCAGAAA